CUGAUCCUACGGGGCGCAGCAGUGAGGAAUAUUGGUCAAUGGUCGGGAGACUGAACCAGCCAAGCCGCGUGAGGGAGGAAGGUACAGAGUAUCGUAAACCUCUUUUGUCAGGGAACAAAGACUGGGACGCGUCCCCGGGUGAGUGUACCUGAAGAAAAAGCAUCGGCUAACUCCGUGCCAGCAGCCGCGGUAAUACGGAGGAUGCGAGCGUUAUCCGGAUUUAUUGGGUUUAAAGGGUGCGCAGGCGGUCUGUUAAGUCAGCGGUCAAAGCCCGGGGCUCAACCCCGGCCCGCCGUUGAACCUGG
RNAcentral lists this ribosomal RNA (305 nucleotides) under uncultured bacterium. Its description in RNAcentral is "bacterial SSU rRNA". It matches the Rfam family "Bacterial small subunit ribosomal RNA", at positions 332 to 636 of the family's 1533-position model. The record is from RNAcentral.